AAUGGCCUAACGGCUGAACCAGUGACUUAGAGGAAUAAGAUAAACUUGAAAUUUUUUUUUUCAAGUCUAAAUCUAUUUGUAUUCUAAAUAGAAUAAUGAUAAUGACAAUUUUCUAUUUAUAAGUCUUGGCUAAAUUACGUGCCAGCAGUCGCGGUAAUACGUAGAAGACUGGCGUUAGUCAUCUUUAUUAGGUUUAAAGGGUACCUAGACGGGAAAUUAAAUCUUCAAAAGAUACUUUUUUCCUAGAGUUUUAUAUGAGAAGUAUUGAACCUUUGGAGUAGAGAUGUAAUUCGAAAAUACUAAAGGGACAGAUGAAGGCGAAGGCGAUCUUCUAUGUAAAAACUGACGUUGAGGGACGAAGGCGUGGGGAGCAAUAGGGAUUAGAUACCCCAGUAGUCCACGCAGAAAAUGAUGAGUGCCAUAUGCUAGAUUUUUUUUUAGCAUAUAAAUGAAAAUGUAAGCAUUCCACCUCAAUAGUAUAGCGGCAACGCUGAAACUGAAAUCAUUAGACCGUUGCUGAAACCAGUAGUGAAGUAUGUUAUUUAAUUCGAUAACCCGCGAAUAAUCUUACCGCUUCUUGAAUAUUAUACAGGUGUUGCAUGGCUGUCUGCAGUUAAUGUCGUGAGAUCUGGUUAACUCCUUUAAUUAACGCAAACCCUUAUUUUAUUUUUUACAUAAAAUUGUUCGGUUAUCAUAAUAACUUGAUAAUAGGGACCAAGACAAGUCUUCAUGACCCUCACGAAGC
This 745-nucleotide ribosomal RNA is filed under the name Ascosphaera larvis. Its description in RNAcentral is "partial small subunit ribosomal RNA". It matches the Rfam family "Bacterial small subunit ribosomal RNA", at positions 370 to 1210 of the family's 1533-position model. Lineage: Eukaryota; Fungi; Ascomycota; Eurotiomycetes; Onygenales; Ascosphaeraceae. The record is from RNAcentral.